GUCUCAGUGGUCUAAUGGUGAGGACACACGACUGAAGUUCGUGUAACCCAAGUUCGAUUCUUGGCUGAGACA
RNAcentral lists this transfer RNA (72 nucleotides) under Adineta vaga. Its description in RNAcentral is "tRNA-Phe for anticodon GAA". It matches the Rfam family "tRNA". From Rfam's summary of the family: Transfer RNA (tRNA) molecules are approximately 80 nucleotides in length. Their secondary structure includes four short double-helical elements and three loops (D, anti-codon, and T loops). The record is from RNAcentral. Lineage: Eukaryota; Metazoa; Rotifera; Eurotatoria; Adinetida; Adinetidae.